AUACUCGUCGCGUGGAAUUCAACAUCAACUCGGGAACGUCCAUGUCUUGCCCUCACGUGAGCGGUUUAGCGGCUCUCCUCAAGUCUGUGCAUCCGGAAUGGAGCCCCGCGGCAAUUCGAUCGGCUCUCAUGACCACCGCUUACAAUACCUACAAAGACGGCAAACCGAUCCUCGACGUCGCGACGGGAAAACCUUCAACACCGUUCGAGCACGGUGCAGGACACGUGUCGCCCACGGCGGCCGUCAAUCCAGGACUCAUCUACGAUCUAACGACGGAGGAUUAUAUAGAUUUCAUCUGCGCAUCGAAUUAUAAUUCGUCGCUGAUCACAAUCAUAUCGAGAGGCAAUUACGCUUGUCCAAGAAAAACGCACCCCGCAGCUGAUCUAAACUAUCCGUCGUUCGCCGUUAACGUCAAAGGAUCCGGCACGUACAAGUACACCCGCACUGUCACAAACGUGGGAGGAGCUGGGUCAUACUCGGUUAAAGUAACGUCGGAGACAACGGCAGUCAAGAUUUCGGUUGAACCGGCGGUUUUGAAUUUCAAAGAAGUGAACGAGAAGAAAUCGUAUUCGGUAACGUUUACCGUUAUCUCAUCUAAGGCGCCAAUGUCUAACAGCUUCGGGAGCAUUGAAUGGUCAGAUGGGAAACACGUGGUGGCCAGUCCCGUGGCGAUUAGCUGGACAUAGGUGGUCCAUGAAGAAAUAUGGCGACUUGAGUAAGAAGAAAGCAACAGAUAUUGUAAUUUCUCAUGAGCCUUGGAUAUUUAAUGAAAAGUAAAAAAUUGGUAAGUACUAUUUUAGCUGGCUAGUGUGUUAUGAAUAUUCUUAUUUACUAGGCUGUGGACAUUGUAGAUACUGACAAUUAUUAGAUUAGUUUAUGAGAUAUGAAAUAUACUAGGCACUUGAUUCACGUUGCAUGAAUGUGAACCACUCAACGUAGGAAACUAUCACUAAUCAAAUACAUCUAGUGUAUCAUAACAAUGUGAUUACGAUGAGUUAAAAAAUAUGAAUCUAAUAACAUAGAGAAAAAGUAGAAACGACUCUAAGAGCUAAUCAUAACCAACUAGAGGUUUCAUUUCAAGAACCAACAAUAACAAGUUCAUAAACAUGAGGUAAUAAAAGAUAUCAAUCGAAAUAAAUACCUAUCUUCAAACAAACUAUAAAAAUGUAUGGCUUUUGUUAAAAGCAAACUCACCUCUUUCCAGUACACAAAUUUGCAGAGAAAAAUCCAAAAAAAAAAAGAAAAGGAUAAAACAAAUUCACGAAUAGUAACUCAAUUUUGAUCAACGUCCAAUUAAAACCCUGAUAUGUAAUUUUAUUUUCAGAAACCCAUCGUGGCAUUAUCACUCAGAGACUAAUACAAUUGGACCAACCUGCCAGCUUCUGAUGUUGCUAUAUUUUUAUUUUUUUUCUGUUUUAUAAAAAUAAAAACUAAUGUUAAAAGAGAGAAUGUAUCCCUGUAUUGUUAACUAUUGAUAUGAUUUAGUUAGUCUGAUCUGAUGUGAAGACAUGUUAAUUCAUACCAUACAAACCAAAGUCUCAAAUUGCCACCCACAUUAUUUGGAUCCCAACCGUCAAAAGCAUUGGUUAGUUGGUGUCUUCGACGAAACUCAUUGAGAUCUUUGCAAAGUAGUUCGUUUCUUUGCUUCUGUCUUGUGAUGAGCCUUAAAGAUAUUAAUAGACUCACAACUUACAUAAACCCUAAACCUGAUUUUAAAGUUGAGGAGGAUCAUGAACUUUAAAGAUAUUAAUAGACUCAUAACUUUGCUUCUGUUUUGUGAUAAGUUACAGCAGCCGGACUAGGAUCUUCCACCAAUGAACCGAUGCAUGGCUCACACUAAUUUGCUUCUCUUAUCUAAAACAAAUUUCGGGGAAAUAAAGCGAUGAGUAGAGCUUAUUGAUGAUUUCCUCACUCCGCUCAGUCUCAGAAUCCGCUGAAAUGAUCUACACCUACAACAAUGCGAUACAUGGAUUCGCCACUCGGCUUACUCCCGGAGAAGCCGACUCACUCAUGACCCAACCUGGUGUCAUCUCGGUUCAACAAGAGCAGAAGUACGAGUUACACACCACUCGAACUCCAUUAUUCCUUGGUCUCGACGGACAAAACGCAGGACUAUUCCCCGAAACCGGCGCCUCAAGCGACAUAGUCAUAGGAGUUCUGGACACCGGUAUUUGGCCAGAGAGCAAAAGCUUCUCUGAUGAAGGAUACGGUCCAAUUCCAUCUACAUGGAAAGGCGAAUGCCAGGCUGGGACUAACUUCACCGCUUCGCUGUGUAACCGCAAACUAAUCGGAGCUAGAUUCUUCUCUGACGGUUACGAAAGAGAUUAUGGAAAAAUCAACCAAGCCGACGAGUCGAAAUCGCCGAGAGACGACUUCGGUCAUGGAACACACACGGCGUCAACCGCGGCUGGAAACGUCGUGAAAGGAGCUAAUUAUUUAGGCUUUGCUAGUGGGACGGCUAGUGGGAUGGCUCAUCGCGUCCGAGUGUCUGUUUACAAAGUUUGUUGGAAAAGUGCUUGCGUGAGCUCAGAUAUUUUAGCUGGAAUGGAUAAAGCCAUCGAAGAUAAUGUCCACAUUAUGUCAUUAUCUAUCGGUGGUAAAUCGACAAGUUAUACAGGCGAAAUUUCCAUGGGUGCAUUCUCGGCCAUGGAAAGAGGGAUCUUUGUUUCCUGCUCUGCUGGUAAUGAUGGUCCCAGCCCAUCCAGCUUAUCAAACGCAGCUCCCUGGAUUACUACUGUUGGUGCUAGUAGUAUUGACCGUGAGUUUCCCGGGGUUGUGAUCCUCGGCAACGGAAAGAACUAUACUGGAGUUUCGUUGUUCAAUGGAAAUGCUCUUCCUGCUAAAUUGUUGCCGUUUGUUUAUGGAAAUUAUUGUAGCCGCGGAACACUAAAUCCUGAGAAGGUAAAGGGGAAGAUCGUGAUGUGCAUCAAAGAUGACAGUGUAAGGACUGAGAAAGGGGAGGUGGUGAAAGCUGCCGGUGGACUCGGAAUGAUUCUGGCAAAUGCAGCAGGGAGCGGAGAAGAAGUUCUGGCGGAUGCUCAUGUGUUACCUGUGACCGCCGUGGGACAGAAAGCCGGUGACAUUAUCCGUCGCUACGUCUUGACCGAUCCGAAUCCCACCGCUUCCAUUUUGAUCAGAGGAACGGUCGUGAACGUCCGGCCAUCUCCGAUGGUUGCCGCGUUUAGCUCGCGGGGACCUAAUACGAUAACGCCAAACAUUCUCAAACCGGAUUUGAUAGCUCCUGGAGUCAAUAUCCUCGCCGCAUGGACCGGAGCUCUGGGUCCCAGUGGACUCGGAACCACUUCCGAUACUCGUCGCGUGGAAUUCAACAUCAACUCGGGAACGUCCAUGUCUUGCCCUCACGUGAGCGGUUUAGCGGCUCUCCUCAAGUCUGUGCAUCCGGAAUGGAGCCCCGCGGCAAUUCGAUCGGCUCUCAUGACCACCGCUUACAAUACCUACAAAGACGGCAAACCGAUCCUCGACGUCGCGACGGGAAAACCUUCAACACCGUUCGAGCACGGUGCAGGACACGUGUCGCCCACGGCGGCCGUCAAUCCAGGACUCAUCUACGAUCUAACGACGGAGGAUUAUAUAGAUUUCAUCUGCGCAUCGAAUUAUAAUUCGUCGCUG
Molecule: long non-coding RNA, 3630 nt
Filed under: Brassica napus (rape)
Lineage: Eukaryota; Viridiplantae; Streptophyta; Magnoliopsida; Brassicales; Brassicaceae
Description: long non-coding RNA (BNAP_LNC022570)
Source: RNAcentral